RNAcentral lists this unclassified non-coding RNA (236 nucleotides) under plant metagenome. RNAcentral's name for it is "partial contains small subunit ribosomal RNA, internal transcribed spacer 1, and 5.8S ribosomal RNA". The record is from RNAcentral.
UUUCCGUAGGUGAACCUGCGGAAGGAUCAUUACCGAGUGAGGGCCCUCUGGGUCCAACCUCCUACCCGUGUUUAUCGUACCUUGUUGCUUCGGCGGGCCCGCCUCACGGCCGCCGGGGGGCACCCGCCCCCGGGCCCGCGCCCGCCGAAGACACCAUUGAACGCUGUCUGAAGAUUGCAGUCUGAGCAUCUUAGCUAAAUCAGUUAAAACUUUCAACAACGGAUCUCUUGGUUCCG